RNAcentral lists this long non-coding RNA (359 nucleotides) under Mytilus galloprovincialis (Mediterranean mussel). Lineage: Eukaryota; Metazoa; Mollusca; Bivalvia; Mytilida; Mytilidae. The record is from RNAcentral.
GUUGGCUGGAAUGAAGCUAGAUGUGACACUAAGAUAAAAACUCUAUGCAGAAAAAAUGACCAGAAAGACAAGAUUGACAAAUAAGCCAUCAUGGCUGAAAUCUUUAGUCUAUUUAUUAAUGGAGUUAUAUAUCUUUUUGACAUCAACUUAUAAUUUCUUUCUAUAGUUGGUAAAACUAGGGAAAAUGAAAUAAUGAAUUGGAAACUUUACUUUAUUGCCCCAACUACAAGGUUACAAAUAAAGUUGCAGUUAACUAAAUAUAUGAUGAAAACGUAUGGUGACAUAUGUUAUGAAGUAAAAGAAUAUUUUGUUUGAUGAAAAGAAUCAUAUAGCUGAGUAAAAUUGUUUAAGCUUACCGG